This 830-nucleotide long non-coding RNA is filed under the name Homo sapiens (human). Its description in RNAcentral is "HSALNT0238818". The record is from RNAcentral. Lineage: Eukaryota; Metazoa; Chordata; Mammalia; Primates; Hominidae.
UACGAUCUGUAUCUUUUAGCCAUGAUGGACUGCAUGUUGCAAGCCUUGCUGAUGAUAAGUAAAAUGGUGAGGUUCUGGAGAAUUGAUGAGGAUUAUCCAGUGCAAGUUGCACCUUUGAGCAAUGGUCUUUGCUGUGCCUUCUCUACUGAUGGCAGUGUUUUAGCUGCUGGGACACAUGACGGAAGUGUGUAUUUUUGGGCCACUCCACGGCAGGUCCCUAGCCUGCAACAUUUAUGUCGCAUGUCAAUCCGAAGAGUGAUGCCCACCCAAGAAGUUCAGGAGCUGCCGAUUCCUUCCAAGCUUUUGGAGUUUCUCUCGUAUCGUAUUUAGAAGAUUCUGCCUUCCCUAGUAGUAGGGACUGACAGAAUACACUUAACACAAACCUCAAGCUUUACUGACUUCAAUUAUCUGUUUUUAAAGACGUAGAAGAUUUAUUUAAUUUGAUAUGUUCUUGUACUGCAUUUUGAUCAGUUGAGCUUUUAAAAUAUUAUUUAUAGACAAUAGAAGUAUUUCUGAACAUAUCAAAUAUAAAUUUUUUUAAAGAUCUAACUGUGAAAACAUACAUACCUGUACAUAUUUAGAUAUAAGCUGCUAUAUGUUGAAUGGACCCUUUUGCUUUUCUGAUUUUUAGUUCUGACAUGUAUAUAUUGCUUCAGUAGAGCCACAAUAUGUAUCUUUGCUGUAAAGUGCAAGGAAAUUUUAAAUUCUGGGACACUGAGUUAGAUGGUAAAUACUGACUUACGAAAGUUGAAUUGGGUGAGGCGGGCAAAUCACCUGAGGUCAGCAGUUUGAGACUAGCCUGGCAAACAUGAUGAAACCCUGUCUCUACU